This is a non-coding RNA of Salvelinus sp. IW2-2015, 158 nucleotides long. NCBI's taxonomy places the organism in Eukaryota, Metazoa, Chordata, Actinopteri, Salmoniformes, Salmonidae. The record is from RefSeq and is a predicted model, not a curated record.
ACACUUAACUGGCAAGAAGAAGCUACGUGUUCAAGAAGGCGGUUCAACCAGGGCGAGGCUCAGCCAUUGCACUGCUGUGCUGACCCUGUGAAUUUUCCCAAAAUGGUGGAAUCUAUUUGAUAUUUAUGUAGUGGGGAGACGCGUCCGCGCUCUCCCCU